Zophobas morio is the source of this 650-nucleotide long non-coding RNA. RefSeq lists it as uncharacterized. The record is from RefSeq and is a predicted model, not a curated record. The transcript is spliced from 3 exons. NCBI's taxonomy places the organism in Eukaryota, Metazoa, Arthropoda, Insecta, Coleoptera, Tenebrionidae.
UUUAUUCACAUUUCUAAGAUACGAAUAUAAAAGCACGUUUACGCAAAUGUCAAUAAAUUUGAUGGCAUUUUCCCUAUGUUCUGAGCAAAAAAGUGUGGGAAUAUUACUAUUGUUAGCCAAUAAUGUUUGGAGUUUUCUUUUGAUUCCAUAACAUAAAAUAUAGUUUGGAAUAAACUGCAACAAUGUAAUGGUAACUUCCUUAAAAAUCCUGGAAAAUUUACUAGACGGAUGAAUUAAGUGACAUCCUUCAAAUUUCAGAUUGUGGAAAAUUUAAGUUAUCAAUGUAAGGUUCUACAGCGUGCACUUGCAUAGGAUUUACUAGGAAUAGUUUUAAAUUAUUUAGAGGACCGGUUGAUUCAUCAGUUUCGCAGAAGAUAUAAAAGAAGAACAAGUAGGAUUUGUAUUCCGCACUCCAUGACUCCUACUACAAGAAAAAAAAUUCUCCACAGGGUCUUGAUUGAAACAGCGACCAGCGUAUUGUUUGAAAUUUUCUGCAAAUAAUUUAGGUGUUAAAUAAAUCAAUCCACGAAUUGAAAACACCCAAUUUUUCAAACACGGAGGUCUAAUUGGAGAAUUGGAAUGCGGUGCUGUAAAAAACAUAGAUGAGAGGAUGGGUAGAGCAGAAUUCCAAAAAGAAAUAUGGUUAGAAU